Molecule: ribosomal RNA, 429 nt
Filed under: Chloroflexota bacterium
Lineage: Bacteria; Bacillati; Chloroflexota
Description: Chloroflexi bacterium partial 16S ribosomal RNA
Rfam family: Bacterial small subunit ribosomal RNA
Source: RNAcentral
UGGGGAAUAUUGCACAAUGGGCGCAAGCCUGAUGCAGCCAUGCCGCGUGUAUGAAGAAGGCCUUCGGGUUGUAAAGUACUUUCAGCGGGGAGGAAGGGAGUAAAGUUAAUACCUUUGCUCAUUGACGUUACCCGCAGAAGAAGCACCGGCUAACUCCGUGCCAGCAGCCGCGGUAAUACGGAGGGUGCAAGCGUUAAUCGGAAUUACUGGGCGUAAAGCGCACGCAGGCGGUCUGUCAAGUCGGAUGUGAAAUCCCCGGGCUCAACCUGGGAACUGCAUUCGAAACUGGCAGGCUAGAGUAUUGUAGAGGGGGGUAGAAUUCCAGGUGUAGCGGUGAAAUGCGUAGAGAUCUGGAGGAAUACCGGUGGCGAAGGCGGCCCCCUGGACAAAGACUGACGCUCAGGUGCGAAAGCGUGGGGAGCAAACAGG